RNAcentral lists this ribosomal RNA (483 nucleotides) under uncultured bacterium. RNAcentral's name for it is "partial 16S ribosomal RNA". It matches the Rfam family "Bacterial small subunit ribosomal RNA", at positions 28 to 523 of the family's 1533-position model. The record is from RNAcentral.
GACGAACGCUGGCGGCGUGCUUAACACAUGCAAGUCGAACGAUGAAGCUGGAGCUUGCUCCGGUGGAUUAGUGGCGAACGGGUGAGUAACACGUGAGCAAUCUGCCCUUGACUCUGGGAUAACUGCGGGAAACUGUAGCUAAUACCGGAUACGAGGCUCGAAGGCAUCUUCGGGUCUGGAAAGAAUUUCGGUCAAGGAUGAGCGCGCGGCCUAUCAGCUGGUUGGUAAGGUAAUGGCUCACCAAGGCGACGACGGGUAGCCGGCCUGAGAGGGUGACCGGCCACCCUGGGACUGAGACACGGCCCAGACUCCUACGGGAGGCAGCAGUGGGGAAUAUUGCACAAUGGGCGAAAGCCUGAUGCAGCAACGCCGCGUGAGGGAUGAAGGCCUUCGGGUUGUAAACCUCUUUUAGCAGGGAAGAAGCGAAAGUGACGGUACCUGCAGAAAAAGCACCGGCUAACUACGUGCCAGCCGCCGCCGUAA